GCGGUACUGGUCGCUGCGCAUGGGCCGCACGCGGGACAGGCAGGCGUAGCUGCAGACGUGGGGGAGGUAGAAGAGCUUCUCCAGCGGCGCGCGGUACGACGGCUCGUUGGGCACGCGGUCCAUCAUGCCGUGGAAGGGCUGCGCCGGCCCGCCGGGGAAGCGAUGCUGCUGGGCUGCAGCUGCCCUUCCUGCCGGAGGUGCAUCGCUCAGCACAGGCGGUGAAGGCGACGACUGCCCCGAGCCGGGACGGAAGGAUGUGCUCUUCUUGGCCACCUGCUUCCUCGACUGGGCCAGCAGACUGUCAGAGCACUCCAUCUCGGUGGGCUGCGGAGAAGAGGGCUGUGCUGCCAGGGAGGCCGCCUGCAUCUGCUCCAGGGGUUUGUACUGCGUUCCAGCUCCGGUCAGAUCCUGUGUGUACUGGACCACGGGGCCUUUGCUCCGCACGGCGCCUUGGGGGAGGAAUCAAAGAGCUCAGUAUCGACACAGAGCCCUUACAACAGCC
Molecule: long non-coding RNA, 502 nt
Filed under: Gallus gallus (chicken)
Lineage: Eukaryota; Metazoa; Chordata; Aves; Galliformes; Phasianidae
Source: RNAcentral